GGUAGUUAAGUCAGAAGUGAAAUCCAAUAGCUCAACUAUUGAACUGCUUUUGAAACUGAUUACCUAGAAUAUGGGAGAGGUAGAUGGAAUUUCUGGUGUAGGGGUAAAAUCCGUAGAGAUCAGAAGGAAUACCGAUUGCGAAGGCGAUCUACUGGAACAUUAUUGACGCUGAGACGCGAAAGCGUGGGGAGCAAACAGGAUUAGAUACCCUGGUAGUCCACGCCCUAAACGAUGUACACUAGUUGUUGUGAGGCUCGACCUUGCAGUAAUGCAGUUAACACAUUAAGUGUACCGCCUGGGGAGUACGGUCGCAAGAUUAAAACUCAAAGGAAUAGACGGGGACCCGCACAAGCGGUGGAGCAUGUGGUUUAAUUCGACGAUACACGAAGAACCUUACCUGGACUUGACAUAGUAAGAACUUUCUAGAGAUAGAUUGGUGUCUGCUUGCAGAAACUUAUAUACAGGUGCUGCACGGCUGUCGUCAGCUCGUGUCGUGAGAUGUUGGGUUAAGUCCCGCAACGAGCGCAACCCUCGUCAUUAGUUGCUAACAGUUCGGCUGAGAACUCUAAUGAGACUGCCUACGCAAGUAGGAGGAAGGUGAGGACGACGUCAAGUCAUCAUGGCCCUUACGUCCAGGGCUACACACGUGCUACAAUGGGGUAUACAAAGAGCCGCAAUACGGUGACGUGGAGCAAAUCUCAAAAAUAUCUCCCAGUUCGGAUUGUAGUCUGCAACUCGACUACAUGA
RNAcentral lists this ribosomal RNA (747 nucleotides) under uncultured Arcobacter sp. Its description in RNAcentral is "bacterial SSU rRNA". It matches the Rfam family "Bacterial small subunit ribosomal RNA", at positions 578 to 1323 of the family's 1533-position model. The record is from RNAcentral. Lineage: Bacteria; Pseudomonadati; Campylobacterota; Epsilonproteobacteria; Campylobacterales; Arcobacteraceae.